Molecule: ribosomal RNA, 274 nt
Filed under: uncultured bacterium
Lineage: Bacteria
Description: partial 16S ribosomal RNA
Rfam family: Bacterial small subunit ribosomal RNA
Source: RNAcentral
CUACGGAGGGUGCAAGCGUUACUCGGAAUCACUGGGCGUAAAGCGCGCGCAGGCGGUUUUUUAAGUUGGAUGUGAAAUCCUAUAGCUUAACUAUAGAACUGCAUCCAAAACUAUUAGACUAGAGUCUGGGAGAGGUAAGUGGAAUUAGUUGUAUAGGGGUAAAAUCCGUAGAGAUAACUAGGAAUACCAAAAGCGAAGGCAACUUACUGGAACAGUACUGACGCUGAGGCGCGAAAGCGAGGGGAGCAAACAGGAUUAGAAACCCCAGUAGUCC